Molecule: ribosomal RNA, 265 nt
Filed under: Chaetoceros curvisetus
Lineage: Eukaryota; Bacillariophyta; Thalassiosirophyceae; Chaetocerotales; Chaetocerotaceae
Description: partial Bacterial large subunit ribosomal RNA
Rfam family: Bacterial large subunit ribosomal RNA
Source: RNAcentral
AUUCCUUGUCGGGUAAGUUCCGACCCGCACGAAAGGCGUAACGAUCUGGGCACUGUCUCAACGAGAGACUCGGUGAAAUUAUAAUACCCGUGAAGAUGCGGGUUACCCGCGACAGGACGGAAAGACCCCAUGGAGCUUUACUGCAGUUUGAUAUUGAGUGUCUGUACCACAUGUACAGGAUAGGUAGGAGUCUAUGAGAUCGGGACGCCAGUUUCGAAGGAGACGUUGUUGGGAUACUACCCUUGUGUUAUGGCCACUCUAACCC